RNAcentral lists this long non-coding RNA (1181 nucleotides) under Callithrix jacchus (white-tufted-ear marmoset). RNAcentral describes it as "lncRNA (ENSCJAG00000087169.1)". Lineage: Eukaryota; Metazoa; Chordata; Mammalia; Primates; Cebidae. The record is from RNAcentral.
UUUCUCCCAGGCAUCUAGUUCUGACUUAGUAAUCCCCAGACUUGGUAACUACCUAAGCAACGCAUGUUGACCAUCUGUUCCCACAGGAUUGGGGCAGGGAUGAAAAGCAGAAAGGAUGGUAAAAACCCAGUAUUUAACAUUCCCCUAGAUUGACUUUUUUUUUUUAGCAGAAAGCUAUGAAUCUAAGGAGAUGUUGAUUCGAUUUUCACAAUCCAUCUUUCCAAGGGCAGUGAAACACAGGAAAGGAGCUGCUUUUCUUGGAAGGAAAAGAGAAUGUCAAGUUGUUACUAUUUAUUUGUAUUCACACAUCCUGUCUCUCCUAAUAUCUCACCUGUCAGAGACUAAUGGGACAAAAGCAGACAGGUAGGAUGGCUUUAAAUUAUGUGUAUUGAGAAAAAUAAAUGAAAAACAGCAUGCAAAACAAUCCCAGGAAAUCAACAUGGUUGCUGUUUGGUUCUCUCAUGCUCCCCACCAGAGGCUAAGGAGGAAGAUAACAUUUUUAUUCAAUUCAAUCCAAAAAUUGUUAGGAACUGGAGAUGGAAAGAUGAUGACAUGGCCCUCAAGGAACUCAGAACAGAUGAGAAGGGACAUGGAUGAAUCUGGAAACCCUCAUUCUCAGCAAACUGACACAUGAACAGAAAACCAAACACUACAUGUUCUCACUCACAGCUCCGUGUUCAGCAAUGUCACAUUGGUAGCUUCAAAAAGGCCACGGUGGGAGAAUUUAUAUCAUGAAAACCAGCAAACACUACAAAUCAGAACUUUUUGAAAGAGAGCUGCAUUUACUAGCACACCCCUGGAUAAAAAGUCUUGGGAUUUUUUGAAAAUUUCUAAUGAAGGUCGGGUUUUUCUUUAAGGUACUCUAAAAAUUAAUCUGAUAACUUGAAUGGUUUCAAAUAGUGAAUGCUGUUCUGAAAACAAUUUAUUUGCUGGGAGGCAUGCCUAAACCUGAGAAUGAUCUAUUUUCAAGGAGACAUAAUAAAAGAAAAAAUUAGUCAAUGCUCUUAAUGUAAUCAUUUUGGGAAGUUAGCUUUGACAAGGUAACACCACAUUUAUUUAUUAUAGGAUUAUGACUUUUUCUGAAGUUCCAAUUGGGAUUACAUAUCAGUCCAUUCCCACACUUCUAUAAAGUAGUACCUAAGACUGCGUAAUUUAUGAAGAGAUUUAAUUGAUUCACAGUU